GGAGUAAGGGUGGAUGGCCUGGUAGGACAGACAAUACAAGUGGGGCCUGACCGAGCCCAGUGGCCACUCUCUGUGUGAGCAAGGAGGUGAGGAGGGCCCCCAUCAGCUGAGGGAGCAGGACCGCAGGGUUGUAGCCUCCCAGCUGCCACCUGCUCUCUCCAGGACACACCCUCCACUGAGGAAAGCCCCUCCUCUAUCAUUCCGGUGGGUGCACAUGUCCAGCCCUGGCUGUCCUAGAUGCAAAGACUGACAGACCUAUCAGCCAGCAUGAACAGGAAGGCAACCCUCUCCCAGCCUCUCAGGCUCUCAGGCUGUCCCAGAGCCUCAGAACCUUCUGGAAACAUGGCACUCAAUCUACCUCACACCAACCUUCCAGGGCUGUUUGCCGACAUCCCUCAGCUCACCAGGCUCACCUCAUGUUCCUCCAGCAGGGUCAGAGGCCCACAGUGGGAGGAGCCUCAGAAGUCACCAAGAAUGCAUGAGGAAUGGGGAAGCUGAGGCUGACCAAGGGAAGGGUGUGUGGCUGCUGUGAGAUCAGCAUCUGCGGGCCAGGGCUGGGCUGCUAGAACAGCCAGGCCACCACAGGCUUCCUGGCCAACAUCCUCCUUCAGCUUGGGUGUACCCCACCUCCUCCUCUUCCAAGACGACAAGCUGGGAACCAGCCAGGGAAGACUGAGGCUGUAUGUGUGUCU
This 692-nucleotide long non-coding RNA is filed under the name Homo sapiens (human). RNAcentral describes it as "HSALNT0171211". Lineage: Eukaryota; Metazoa; Chordata; Mammalia; Primates; Hominidae. The record is from RNAcentral.